GGGAAGGUGAGUAAAGCUCUUGGAGCCAGCGCUGCAUUCACAGAUGGCUAGGGCUCUUGGCAAGCCAGCCAUGGUCACUACCCAAACUCCUCCCCUUGCCUCUUCUCACUUGGUUCCUGGGCUCUGCCUUGUCUGUACCAGUGUCCUGGUGCUGCUGUCAACUGCUGCCUCUUGUCCUGCUCACUCCUGAGAGGUUCCCAGUGACUUCCUCCUUUCACACUACUUCACUGGAAGCAACACAGGGAAGGGACAGGAAAGGAAGAACAAAAGAGAGGACAGAGACCAGGGAUGCUCAGCACACUGUACGCAAGAGAAACACGAAGUUGAGAAGAACCAAGACAAGUGACUUUUGAGUGAAUUGACAUUGAUAUUGCUCGAACAUGAAAAUGGUAUUAGAGAAAAAUUUCUGGAAAGCAAAUUGCAGAUUCUGCAAAACUCAGUAUGUUAAAAAAAUAUGCAUUUUUGCUGAAUAAAAUGAAUUGAUAAGUCAUCUUAUUCUGUAUUCCCAA
Long non-coding RNA from Callithrix jacchus (white-tufted-ear marmoset), 509 nucleotides. RefSeq lists it as uncharacterized. The record is from RefSeq and is a predicted model, not a curated record. Lineage: Eukaryota; Metazoa; Chordata; Mammalia; Primates; Cebidae.